This 218-nucleotide unclassified non-coding RNA is filed under the name Hevea brasiliensis (rubber tree). Lineage: Eukaryota; Viridiplantae; Streptophyta; Magnoliopsida; Malpighiales; Euphorbiaceae. The record is from RNAcentral.
GAAUCCAACGAUGAGUCAAAAAUCAGGCGCGCGCCUCACCGAGAAGCAGGGUUAUUACCUGGCCUUCAUCCAUACCUACGCCCACAUGUUCGGACGUCCACCCGCUGAAGCCGACAUCCAGCGCCACUUCCGCGUCAGCCCGCCUUCGGUCCACCAGAUGAUCGUCACCCUCGAACGAAACGGCUUCAUCCGACGUCAACCCGGCGUCCCCAGAAGCA